This 473-nucleotide ribosomal RNA is filed under the name Escherichia coli. RNAcentral describes it as "bacterial SSU rRNA". It matches the Rfam family "Bacterial small subunit ribosomal RNA", at positions 1 to 470 of the family's 1533-position model. Lineage: Bacteria; Pseudomonadati; Pseudomonadota; Gammaproteobacteria; Enterobacterales; Enterobacteriaceae. The record is from RNAcentral.
AAAUUGAAGAGUUUGAUCAUGGCUCAGAUUGAACGCUGGCGGCAGGCCUAACACAUGCAAGUCGAACGGUAACAGGAAGAAGCUUGCUUCUUUGCUGACGAGUGGCGGACGGGUGAGUAACGUCUGGGAAACUGCCUGAUGGAGGGGGAUAACUACUGGAAACGGUAGCUAAUACCGCAUAACGUCGCAAGACCAAAGAGGGGGACCUUCGGGCCUCUUGCCAUCGGAUGUGCCCAGAUGGGAUUAGCUAGUAGGUGGGGUAACGGCUCACCUAGGCGACGAUCCCUAGCUGGUCUGAGAGGAUGACCAGCCACACUGGAACUGAGACACGGUCCAGACUCCUACGGGAGGCAGCAGUGGGGAAUAUUGCACAAUGGGCGCAAGCCUGAUGCAGCCAUGCCGCGUGUAUGAAGAAGGCCUUCGGGUUGUAAAGUACUUUCAGCGGGGAGGAAGGGAGUAAAGUUAAUACCUUU